CCUACGGGAGGCAGCAGUGAGGAAUAUUGGUCAAUGGUCGGGAGACUGAACCAGCCAAGCCGCGUGAGGGAGGAAGGUACAGAGUAUCGUAAACCUCUUUUGUCAGGGAACAAAGGCGGGGACGUGUCCCCGGAUGAGUGUACCUGAAGAAAAAGCAUCGGCUAACUCCGUGCCAGCAGCCGCGGUAAUACGGAGGAUGCGAGCGUUAUCCGGAUUAAGUGGGGUUAAAGGGUGCGCAGGCGGUCUGUUAAGUCAGCGGGAAAAGCCCGGGGCUCAACCCCGGCCCGCCGUUGAAACUGGCAGUCUCGAGUUGGAGAGAGGUAUGCGGAAUGCGCGGUGUAGCGGUGAAAUGCAUAGAGAUCGCGCAGAACUCCGAUUGCGAAGGCAGCAUGCCGGCUCCACACUGACGCUGAGGCGCGAAAGCGUGGGUAUCGAACAGGAUUAGAUACCCUAGUAGUC
This 459-nucleotide ribosomal RNA is filed under the name uncultured bacterium. RNAcentral describes it as "partial 16S ribosomal RNA". It matches the Rfam family "Bacterial small subunit ribosomal RNA", at positions 338 to 795 of the family's 1533-position model. The record is from RNAcentral.